CCCCUCGUCGGGACAGACCGGCGAUACCGAGUCACCGAGCACCGAGGCCCCCAGCUCCGAGUCUUCGAGCCCUGAGAUCCUGAACCGCCCCAGCCCCGAGCCUUCUAGCUCUUGAGCCCCCGAGCUCGGAGCCUGGAACGUAGACGUGACAGUGUCUUGACUCCCUGAAUAACGGAGAUUUACACUGUUCAGAUAAGAAGCCAGCCCUAGGCCGGUGUGGAUUUCCUUUCCCCUUGAGCAUAAAGGUGGUAUCUGAUCGUCUCCGCCUGCCUUUAGCAACACCCCCGACCCGCGAUGUCUCAGUACUUUUCCGUCCCCUGGGUUCCCCCCACCCCCACCACCACGCUGACCUUGGCUGUAAACCCCAUUUGUCUUUGUAUUUGGAGUGGAGGCCAGUCUCUCUCCCCUAUUCCAACAGCCUUGAAUAAAGUCUUCCUUACUGUUUUAA
Molecule: long non-coding RNA, 448 nt
Organism: Herpailurus yagouaroundi (jaguarundi)
Lineage: Eukaryota; Metazoa; Chordata; Mammalia; Carnivora; Felidae
Exons: 2
Source: RefSeq, a predicted model, not a curated record